CUGUUCAUGAUGUCUCAAACCAUAAUCACAAACACCAUAGAUCUAUUUGAAGAAAAAAUACUUUGCUAGAAAAUCUAACAAAGAACCUCACUGAUCUUUUCAACAACUUCUAGCAUCUUUUUCCUUUUCCAUGCUACAACCUGACUCUGAUACCAAUUAUUGUGCACACGCACCCCAAGAUGUAGGACAAGGAAUACACUAGCAACACACAAAGAGGGAUAUCUAUGAGAAUCCCUCCAUGAAUAUGGCGGCUAGGGUUUUGGCGUGCACAG
This 272-nucleotide long non-coding RNA is filed under the name Elaeis guineensis (African oil palm). Its description in RNAcentral is "long non-coding RNA (EGUI_LNC040689)". Lineage: Eukaryota; Viridiplantae; Streptophyta; Magnoliopsida; Arecales; Arecaceae. The record is from RNAcentral.